GAUGAACGCUAGCGGCAGGCCUAAUACAUGCAAGCCGAACGGCAAGUUGAGUAGCAAUACUUGACCUAGAGUGGCGUAAGGGUGCGUAACACGUAUGCAAUCUACCCGCAACAGGAGGAUAGCUCUCCGAAAGGGGAAUUAAGCCUCCAUGGGAUCAUGGGGUGGCAUCACUCCAUGAUUAAACUACCAGGGGUUGUGGAUGAGCAUGCGCAUGAUUAGUUAGUUGGCGGGGUAAC
This 236-nucleotide ribosomal RNA is filed under the name uncultured bacterium. RNAcentral describes it as "partial 16S ribosomal RNA". It matches the Rfam family "Bacterial small subunit ribosomal RNA", at positions 28 to 261 of the family's 1533-position model. The record is from RNAcentral.